Molecule: ribosomal RNA, 485 nt
Filed under: uncultured bacterium
Lineage: Bacteria
Description: partial 16S ribosomal RNA
Rfam family: Bacterial small subunit ribosomal RNA
Source: RNAcentral
AGUGAACGCUGGCGGCGUGCUUAACACAUGCAAGUCGAACGAGAACGGAUUAUAGCUUGCUAUAAUUGUCAGCUAAGUGGCGCACGGGUGAGUAAUGUAUAGGUAAUAUGCCUCUUACUAAGGGAUAACAAAUGGAAACGUUUGCUAAUACCUUAUACUCCUUAUUAACAGAAGUUAAUAAGGGAAAGAUUUAUUCGUAAGAGAUUAGACUGUAUUGUAUCAGUUAGUUGGUGGGGUGAUGGCUUACCAAGACUAUGACACAGAACGUGGUUUGAGAGGAUGACCAGUCACACUGGAACUGAGACACGGUCCAGACUCCUACGGGAGGCAGCAGUGGGGAAUAUUGCACAAUGGACGAAAGUCUGAUGCAGCAACGCCGCGUGGAGGAUGACACAUUUCGGUGCGUAAACUCCUUUUAUAUGAGAAGAUAAUGACGGUAUUAUAUGAAUAAGCACCGGCUAACUCCGUGCCAGCAGCCGCCGUAA